Molecule: ribosomal RNA, 471 nt
Filed under: uncultured bacterium
Lineage: Bacteria
Description: bacterial SSU rRNA
Rfam family: Bacterial small subunit ribosomal RNA
Source: RNAcentral
GACGAACGCUGGCGGCGUGCCUAACACAUGCAAGUCGAGCGGAGACAGCGGAAGAGCAAUCUGAGUCUGUCUGAGCGGCGGACGGGUGAGUAACGCGUGAGCAACCUGCCUUCCACAGGGGGAUAACGUACCGAAAGGUACACUAAUACCGCAUGAGACCACGGUACCGAUGGUACAGGGGUCAAAGGAGGAAUCCGGUGGGAGAUGGGCUCGCGUCCGAUUAGGUAGUUGGCGGGUAAUGGCCCACCAAGCCUAUGAUCGGUAGCCGGCCUGAGAGGGUGAACGGCCACAUUGGAACUGAGAGACGGUCCAAACUCCUACGGGAGGCAGCAGUGGGGAAUAUUGGGCAAUGGGGGGAACCCUGACCCAGCAACGCCGCGUGAGGGAAGAAGGUUUUCGGAUUGUAAACCUCUAGUUCUUGGAGAAGAGUGUAAGACGGUAUCCAAGGAGGAAGCCCCGGCUAACUACGUG